AAAGACGACCUCAGUUCGGAUUGAAGGCUGAAAUUCGCCUUCACGAAGUCGGAAUUGCUAGUAAUGGCAGGUCAGCAUACUGCCGUGAAUACGUUCCCGGGCCUUGUACACACCGCCCGUCACACCAUGAGAGUUAGGAAUACCCGAAGCCUGUGAGCUAACUUUUAGAGGCAGCAGUCGAAGGUAGAGCCAAUGAUUGGGGUGAAGUCGUAACAAGGUAGC
RNAcentral lists this ribosomal RNA (222 nucleotides) under uncultured bacterium. RNAcentral's name for it is "partial 16S ribosomal RNA". It matches the Rfam family "Bacterial small subunit ribosomal RNA", at positions 1278 to 1500 of the family's 1533-position model. The record is from RNAcentral.